CCGAGUCACGCACUCAAAUAACCCUUCUGUGGACCUAAAUUAAAACCGUUGCCUCGGCGGGCGGUCCCCUACCCAAAACCCCACGUGGUGCGGGGUAGGGGACCAGACAGUCCGGUACGCUUGAGGCGUCCGGCGCCAGCCGCUGGCCCUAAACAAUUAAACUCUAGUAACCUUACCUUCUGAGUUUUAAUAAAAAAAAUAAGUCA
This 206-nucleotide unclassified non-coding RNA is filed under the name uncultured Ascomycota. RNAcentral describes it as "sequence contains ITS1". Lineage: Eukaryota; Fungi; Ascomycota. The record is from RNAcentral.